Molecule: transfer RNA, 72 nt
Filed under: Dipodomys ordii (Ord's kangaroo rat)
Lineage: Eukaryota; Metazoa; Chordata; Mammalia; Rodentia; Heteromyidae
Rfam family: tRNA
About the family: Transfer RNA (tRNA) molecules are approximately 80 nucleotides in length. Their secondary structure includes four short double-helical elements and three loops (D, anti-codon, and T loops).
Source: Rfam by way of RNAcentral
GGAGAUGUGGUAUAAGUGGUAGAAUACCUGAUUUACAAGCAUGAGGCCUGGAUUCAAUCCCUAGAAUUUCCU